GGUUCCGUAGUGUAGCGGUUAAUACCCUGGACUUUGAAUCCAGUAACGCGAGUUCGAAUCUCGCCGGAACCU
RNAcentral lists this transfer RNA (72 nucleotides) under Ancylostoma ceylanicum. It matches the Rfam family "tRNA". From Rfam's summary of the family: Transfer RNA (tRNA) molecules are approximately 80 nucleotides in length. Their secondary structure includes four short double-helical elements and three loops (D, anti-codon, and T loops). Lineage: Eukaryota; Metazoa; Nematoda; Chromadorea; Rhabditida; Ancylostomatidae. The record is from Rfam by way of RNAcentral.